GGGGGGGUGCGGGUGGUGAUCGAAGGGCUGAAGAUGCGGAGGAGGCCGAGUCGCUAGGCGCUUUCGGGGGCGCUGUGCCGGGGAGGCUUAGUCAAGGGGACCGGGAACCCUGGUUAGAUGCAGCAGCGGCGGCAGCAGCCCUCCCAGGUCCCACUUCCUUGGCGUUCCUGCUGCCCGUGACUCAAGGCAAUUGACUUCCAUCUGAACCCUCAGCUCCGAAGGCCUUGCAUUAGAAGCUAGAGCUUUGGAGGUUCUGAGGACGGUCCCUGGGGAGCAAGUGGUAGGUUUCGAGGCGCCUGCUUCCCCUCUGAUUCCUGCAGUUACUGAGGGAGAGUGCGCUAGAAAUGGCUUUGCUGCCGAAUGCAUUAUCUUGCCAUUUUCGUGUCCCAAUACUGAACAAACGAUCGCCUGAUCGAUCGGAACUUCUUUUUUCCUCUUUGAAACCGGCUUCCCAAGGGAACUGCCUGUGUGACUGAGAGGCUAGUAAUCUGUUUGUAGAUGAUUUAUAUUUUGGCUGCAGAAUGAAUCCCCCUCCCUACUCGGAGUACUCUCCUUAGAGAAGAUCCCCCGCCCCCUCCCCAUGGGUUCGCUCUCAGAGCUCGGAUCUGUAUAAAGAGCGCUGUGGGAGUCUUUUGCCCUCCGCUCUAGCUCUAUCUUUCUCCGGACCCCGAAGCUUAAGAAUUAUCCGCCUCACUCUCUUUUUUAGAAAUAGGAGGGAAAGGUAGAGUGGAAAUUGAUUUCUUGCAGAGACUGAGGCGCUGAAUGAUAGAGGGAAUAAACAUUUGCCCUGGAUAAAAAUGUUCUUGGCUGUUGUCCAGCUCUAAUGAUGUCCUAGAGCAGAAGUGUUUCUUCUGUUGUCUCAUUUUACCAAGAGGAUGAUGUCUGUGUAUGUCUCUGUGUUUUAGAGAGACUAACAAAUGCUGCUAAGAGGAUCUGAGGUUCACAUAAAGAGGCUGAAAAUUCGGAAUUACUUUCAUUGCAAAUAAAUGUUAACAAUUGUGAAAGUUAGAGAGCAUACUUUUCACAUAAGACUUUGAUAUGCUGCCUAAAGCUACUUACAAAAUUUGCUAUUCAGAGAAAUACAUUUGUUUAUUGAGGACCCACCCUGAGUUAAAUUACAAAAAUGUAACAUUCAGAUUUUUAUUUUAUAUGUGAAAUCAAUGUGUGAUUGCUGUUCUUAAAAAUUUGAAAAAAAAAAAAAACAGGAUAACAAAAAUAUUACUUUUGUUACCCAUAGUUCAUGAACUUUAAAAGCGUUUACAGCAUUUAAAGUUUAACAAUUUAAGUAUUAGAACACUAUACUAAUUCAUAUGAUUACAUUUGAUCAACUCCUUCAUGAAGCCACAGGCUUUGUAUCUCCUAGCUGCCUUUUACCUUCAGAACACAUCUGGUUUAUACUUAGACUGCUCCAAAAGUUAUGCAUUUUAAUUUUGUGUUGAGAAUGUCUUUCUUAGAUAAUCACAGUGCAUAUUGGCAGCUAGUACUUCAGUACAUUUUAUAUUAUUGGUAAUGCUUUUGUUAGCCAUCCUGGUGCUGCCUUCUUAUAAGAACUGUGUAUGAGUUCCAACUAAUAUAUUUCUUACCUAUUAACCCACUAAAAUUUCUAAUCUAAAAGCAAUAUUCAAGAUACAUUUUAUUACAGAAAUUGGAAAGCAAUUUGCCUGGGAAGCAAAAUGUUCAUAUGACUCAGGUGAUUUUAACAUUAAAUCUAACUUGUAACAAAAAUGAGUUAUAUAAAGAUAAAUAACUUGAGACUAUUAUUUGCAUAGCAAAGAAAGUCACACAUGAUAUACACAUUUAUGCAUAUAUAAUUAAUUUCAAUAAAAUAUUAAUAUUUAUUC
RNAcentral lists this long non-coding RNA (1841 nucleotides) under Macaca mulatta (Rhesus monkey). RNAcentral describes it as "lncRNA (ENSMMUG00000059498.1)". Lineage: Eukaryota; Metazoa; Chordata; Mammalia; Primates; Cercopithecidae. The record is from RNAcentral.